This 253-nucleotide ribosomal RNA is filed under the name uncultured bacterium. RNAcentral describes it as "partial 16S ribosomal RNA". It matches the Rfam family "Bacterial small subunit ribosomal RNA", at positions 524 to 776 of the family's 1533-position model. The record is from RNAcentral.
UACGUAGGGUGCAAGCGUUACUCGGAAUUACUGGGCGUAAAGCGCGCGUAGGCGGUUUGUUAAGUCUGAUGUGAAAGCCCUGGGCUCAACCUGGGAAUUGCAUUGGAUACUGGCAGGCUAGAGUGCGGUAGAGGAUGGCGGAAUUCCCGGUGUAGCAGUGAAAUGCGUAGAGAUCGGGAGGAACAUCUGUGGCGAAGGCGGCCAUCUGGACCAGCACUGACACUGAGGCACGAAAGCGUGGGGAGCAAACAGG